GAAGUUGUGGCGAAAUGGUAUACGCAUUGGUUUCAAAAACCAAUAACAACAUGUUAUAAGGGUUCGAGUCCCUUCAACUUCA
RNAcentral lists this transfer RNA (82 nucleotides) under Lepidodinium chlorophorum. RNAcentral's name for it is "tRNA-Leu". It matches the Rfam family "tRNA". Rfam says of the family: Transfer RNA (tRNA) molecules are approximately 80 nucleotides in length. Their secondary structure includes four short double-helical elements and three loops (D, anti-codon, and T loops). Further hydrogen bonds mediate the characteristic L-shaped molecular structure. tRNAs have two regions of fundamental functional importance: the anti-codon, which is responsible for specific mRNA codon recognition, and the 3' end, to which the tRNAs corresponding amino acid is attached (by aminoacyl-tRNA synthetases). tRNAs cope with the degeneracy of the genetic code in two manners: having more than one tRNA (with a specific anti-codon) for a particular amino acid; and 'wobble' base-pairing, i.e. permitting non-standard base-pairing at the 3rd anti-codon position. The record is from RNAcentral. Lineage: Eukaryota; Dinophyceae; Gymnodiniales; Gymnodiniaceae.